GAAAUUUGUUACUAUUACUGGAAUUUUUAUUCAAUUUUUUUUUAUACAUAUGGAAACGCAUGUCCUUGCAUUUCUUAGGCAAGUUACAAUAUUACAUUUAGCUUCUUCUUCCUAGAUUUUAUAUAGUCUGUUACAACAUGUAAAGCAACUUAAGUUAAUAAGGACUAUUAUAUAUGUAGUUAAUAGAAAUCUUUAGACGAAUAAUGAUGAUCAGAAGGAACAUCAGGGUCAGGCUUCUCAACACCAUCAACAUUCCUCAGCCAGUAAGUCUGAUUAUUAAGAGAAGCUGCACUUUCUGGUACAUUGUCCAACACUCGUUCGUGGCCCUUCAGCACAUAUAUUCCGGUGCGAGGAUGGGGUACCCAAUCAGAUCCGUUCUCCUUCUUUGCUUCCAUGAUCGAGUUUCCCGAUUCUUCUAAAUGAUGAUGAUGAUGAUAAUGAUAAUAGUGGUGGUGAUGAAGUAACAAGCACCGGUCAUUCUCCCAUUCAGAUUAGAAGUUGUCAGACCCGAGUAGAAGUAGAGAAAAUAACAGAGGAAGUCGCUGGUUCUGAUGGCCAAAGCAAAAGGCAGAAAUUGCUUGAUGGUGGGUACAAAAGAAAAUCACUAGUGGACGCUGCUAGUUUGACAAAAGUUGCCGGAGUUCAUGGGUUUGAUGAUAAUGAUGAUGAAUCAAGCUAUGCUAUUGGACAAAACCAAGAAGAAGAAAGGCUUGCCUUCUGGGGCAGCAAGCAAUUGAAAAAGGAUAAGGUUCGUGCAACAUUAAAAAUUCUGGAGAGCAUAAUCCCUGGUGCAAAGGACAAGGACCCACUGGUGGUCCUUGAUGUAGCUAUUGAUUACUUGAAAUCUUUGAAGUUUGAAGCCAAAAGUCUUGGAGCGAACUACUGUUAAGUUUCGUUCCCUCCAACUUUCAUAGUGUUAUGUUGGCUAGUGGGUGCAAAGAAGAAAGAAGAAAAGUAGCAACCCUAGAGUUCUUGGCUUGAAUGAUUGAUGAGUUAGAAAUAAUAGCUUUUCUGAUGUGGGGUACUCUUUAGACUUUUUCCCUCAGGAGCUGUGUAUAAUCUGCCAAUAAAAGGAGAGUAGUGGGAAGAUAUAGUACUUUGCUUGCAGGGUGAAGAAAAAAAUAGAGUUUUAUAAGUUGAUCAGAAAUGAUUAAAGAUUAUCAAAAGUAAAGAUUUGAACGUAUGGAGUGACGCAAGUGCUGAAUUGUGCUAUAAAUGAGAGGAUUUUAUUUCUUAAGUGUUGAGAAGCCCUAUGGAUGUGCAUGCGCGUUAGGUAAUUCGGGUCCCACUCUCCAUUCAUUUUCUUUGAUUUAAUGCAUUUGUCUUCCUCUCUUUGCCCUCACACAAAUCAUAUUGAGCUCUAUUAAAAUACCGAAAAAAGUUUCAAAUGAAGCGUGAUGUCUCGCCAUGAAUUGUUGGGGUCCACACUUCUGAUCACAUAGUUGCUUGUGUGUCUUCACUCGUGAGUGUGGGUGGUGGCUAUGUAACUUGUGCAGUAUAUCAUGUGAUCAUGGUCAUUCAGUGAAGCCCUUGGUUCCCAAGAUGGGAUUUGUCAGCUUUGUAUGCUCAUUAUUUGUUGUGAGUGUGAAUUUGGUGUUCGGCAGUAGAGUGUGGAGUAUUGAGUUGAAUGUAUUUUAUCUUGGCUGUUUUUUCUUCUGUUCUUCCUGUUGUCCUAUGUAGGACGAUUUUGUCUGUAUUGAAAAAGAGAACAUGACUUGUUAUGAUUUUAUUAAUGUAGAGAUGUUUUCUUGUGACUCUCAUGAGUAAUUGUGGGAGCUAGAGGAUCCUGAGCUGAUUUUUGUAGAUGGUGCCUUUGUCUUUGUAUACCUUGUACUGGGACUAUAAUGGCAGGCUCCUUGUGAUUCUGAAAUGUGUGAAAAUGUGUGUUUUGAAACAAUGUUAAAAGGCUAAAGUUUGUUUACCAUUUUCUAGCAAAGAAUGCCUAGUACAUUUUUGUCUGGUUUCUCAAUAUAAUAAACCAUAUACUGCAUAAAGCUUGAUUUUUUUUUCCCUGAAAAAUAAUGGAUUUCCUCGCAUUGGAUGAUGAGUAAUUAGUAGUACUAGAAUGAUGGAGAGAGAGAGAGAGAGA
Molecule: unclassified non-coding RNA, 2089 nt
Filed under: Hevea brasiliensis (rubber tree)
Lineage: Eukaryota; Viridiplantae; Streptophyta; Magnoliopsida; Malpighiales; Euphorbiaceae
Source: RNAcentral